Molecule: long non-coding RNA, 2216 nt
Organism: Cottoperca gobio
Lineage: Eukaryota; Metazoa; Chordata; Actinopteri; Perciformes; Bovichtidae
Source: Ensembl
GAUAUACAGACUAGUGAAUAAGUAUAUAGUGUAUAAAAGUAUAUAAUGUAUCCUCCUGAGACCCACCCAUUCACUGUUGUCCUCUGUGGUGCACAUUUGUUUUUGGUCCCUUACUCUCAGCUUGCACAUGCAACUGCAUUGGAUUCAGCUGCACCUCACUGAGGACAUCCUGGGCUUUGCAGACAUGUGACAUACGUGGGGGUGUGACUUAGAACAAGUUCAUUUCCUGGUAUUUCUAAAUGUCGUCCAUCAGCACAUUUUAUGGAAAGAGAAAUGAUAAGUAUGUAAUCUUGUAAUAAGCAGUUUUGUGAGUAGUUUGAUUAAUGCCAGUGAGGGAACAUCUUAGGAGUUAGUGUAGUGAGUUUUCAGAGCAAGUAUAAUAAUUAUUUGACCUAAAACAACAUGUAUUCAUGGAUGUCCUCUGUGGAUGACACAAGGAUGUGCUUUCUAUUUGUUUCCUUUUAAAGGAGGCAGUCCUUCUCUCACAGCCCAGGAUGGUGCAUGAUGAGCGGACUAAAUUCAUCCAUGAAACACUGGCGCUGUGUCUUCAGCACCAGGCUGAUCAGCACCAGGCUGCUCACCCUUCUCACACAGCCCAGGGUGGUGCAUGGAGACUGGACUAAAUUCAUCCGCAGCAAACACGAGUCCUGAUCCAACAGCAACAAUGGAGACAUGAAAGCUGAAUAUCUGGCCCACAUGUGAACACAGAUGUGCACAGGUGAGUGUGAAGUUCUCCUGAUGAUGCUCAGCUUUGGGUUUGGUUGUUAAAAGGUUGUGAGGUCACAUGGUGUCGCCUUUUACUUAAGUAGUACUACUACUAAACGUAUCUGUGCAGUACAAGUAUGUGUGAUUAGUUUUUUAUUCUUUAAUUGUUUGUGACCUCUCCACGUACAAUAAAUCAUUAUUGUUUAAUGUGUGUGAUCUCUGAAGGCUCCUGCUACAUGUCUUCAUAUUUUUAUUAUGAUUAUUUGUUUACUGAUAUUUUAUAUCAAAAUCCUUUGAGAAGAAAUUAAUCAAAAUCCUUAAUUAUACAAAAUAAGCAAAGUUCUUUUAAAAUACAAUAAAUUCAAAGUAAAAAAAAACCCUGAAUCAAACUAAAACAUUCUGCAAAAUCCUUAAAGUUAUAAAAGUUAUAGAUAUAGUUAUAGUCACUUCCCAAGAUGCAACAGUGUGUUCAUUCCCAGGAAUGUCUCCACAGACAGUUUGUAAUACUGCAAAUACAAACGCUUUCAUCAGUGGACCACAGGCUCCAUCACCAUUGUGUUACUUCAUCCAGAUAGAUAGUGACGUGAAAGACUUUUAUAUAAAUUAAAAUCUUCAACAUUACUUUAAAUUCAAAAUUAAGCUAAAUUCUUAUAAAACAAAUUCCUCAAAUACAAAAUAAACAAAAUCUUUUAUGAAACAAGCAAAAUCCUUUAUAAUAAAAAAAUAAGCAUAAUCACUGGUGACAAAGUACAAAAAUAAGUAAAUUAUUCAAAUACAAAAAUAAGCAAAAUUCUUAAUUAAAAAAAGCCACUUGUGUAAUAAUCAAAUCUCAUAAUUACAAUAUGAAGCAAAAUCGUUAAAAGUUCUCGAUUCCAAAUUCAGAGCAGAAGUUCUCCACACGGUUCUCACCGUGACGGGGACUGAGCCGGCAGCUAGCUGCUAACGUUGCUAACAGCCAAAACAAUGUAAACAACAGCAACAUUGCUGACAGAGUCAACAGUGUGAACCUUGGGGGGGCGGGGGAGGCACCACGUUUCUGCGACAACGCCGUUGGUCGAUACGCCGUUAUCAGCAGUAACCAUAUGAGCGCAGUGGAGAGCGGCGGCCAUUAGCUAACAACACAUGCACUGAAUGCUCGUGCAGCCGGGCCGGCCCCCCUACAAAGACUGGGAUUACUCCACUAUAUCUUUACACAGCAAAUAGAUAUGUGACGCUGUAUUAAUGCUCUGAAUACUGAACUGACAACAUUCAAUGAAAUAAUGAAUUCUUAAUUACAAAAAUAAGUAAAAUUAUUAUGAAGUUAGCUAAAUACUUUAAAUACAAAAAACAAGAUGUUAAAAGUCUCAAUGUUACGUUUUAUUUUUUCUCUCAUUUGUUUUAUUCAGAUUAUUAUUUAAGAUACAUUUGGUCCUGCUGCUAAAAUCUCCUUCACAGCAAAAACUGAACCAAGUCGACCACAAGCGAGUGCUGAAGCGAGUCAUGAAGUUCAUAUCUUGCUAACGAGAAGAAAC